Molecule: long non-coding RNA, 472 nt
Organism: Amphiprion ocellaris (clown anemonefish)
Lineage: Eukaryota; Metazoa; Chordata; Actinopteri; Pomacentridae
Source: Ensembl
CUGCUGAGCAACAUGAAUCUACUGCUUCUGAUCUGUGUGAGCGCGCUCUGUGAGUCGCAGCUCCAAAGUCCUGCAGUCGAGCUCCUGGUCCCCUCAGACGUCAACUCGUUCCUCCCCAUCCCGUUGACCUGUCUGGUGUCUGGAGUGAAGGACCCUGAUCAGGUCACGGUGGACUGGGAGGUGGUUGGGGCUGAUGGCAUCCAGCAGCUCAGUCCCACCAUCCUCCCCGUCAGCCAGGCGGUCGUCAUCAGCCAACAGGUUCAUGUUCCUGCAGAGAGCUGGUCUGCAGGAGUGGAGGUGUCCUGUGUGCUGAAUGACGGAGAGCUGAGCAUCAGAAAGACUGUCAGCAGCAGACUAGGAAAGUCCAGUCAGUGUGUGCUGCUGGCCUCCAUCACUGGUGCCGUGUGUGUCGUCCUGUUGACCGUCGCCAUGGCGCUCAGCGUCCUGUUGUUGUGCCGACAGAGGCGAAUCC